CCUACGGGGUGCUGCAGUGGGGAAUAUUGGACAAUGGGCGAAAGCCUGAUCCAGCCAUGCCGCGUGUGUGAAGAAGGCCUUCGGGUUGUAAAGCACUUUCAGUGGGGAAGAAAGCCUUGGGGCUAAUACCCUCGAGGAAGGACAUCACCCACAGAAGAAGCACCGGCUAACUCCGUGCCAGCAGCCGCGGUAAUACGGAGGGUGCGAGCGUUAAUCGGAAUUACUGGGCGUAAAGCGCGCGUAGGCGGUCUGAUAAGCCGGUUGUGAAAGCCCCGGGCUCAACCUGGGAACGGCAUCCGGAACUGUCAGGCUAGAGUGCAGGAGAGGAAGGUAGAAUUCCCGGUGUAGCGGUGAAAUGCGUAGAGAUCGGGAGGAAUACCAGUGGCGAAGGCGGCCUUCUGGACUGACACUGACGCUGAGGUGCGAAAGCGUGGGUAGCAAACAGGAUUAGAUACCCUAGUCGUC
Molecule: ribosomal RNA, 465 nt
Filed under: Vreelandella stevensii
Lineage: Bacteria; Pseudomonadati; Pseudomonadota; Gammaproteobacteria; Oceanospirillales; Halomonadaceae
Description: partial 16S ribosomal RNA
Rfam family: Bacterial small subunit ribosomal RNA
Source: RNAcentral